CCUACGGGGGGCAGCCGUGAGGAAUAUUGGUCAAUGGGCGCGAGCCUGAACCAGCCAAGUCGCGUGAGGGAAGACGGUCCUAUGGAUUGUAAACCUCUUUUGUCGGGGAGCAAAAGAUGCCACGCGUGGCGUUCCGAGUGUACCCGAAGAAAAAGCAUCGGCUAACUCCGUGCCAGCAGCCGCGGUAAUACGGAGGAUGCGAGCGUUAUCCGGAUUUAUUGGGUUUAAAGGGUGCGCAGGCGGAAGAUCAAGUCAGCGGUAAAAUUGAGGGGCUCAACCUCUUCGAGCCGUUGAAACUGGUUGUCUUGAGUGGGCGAGAAGUAGGCGGAAUGCGUGGUGUAGCGGUGAAAUGCAUAGAUAUCACGCAGAACUCCGAUUGCGAAGGCAGCAUACCGGCGCUCAACUGACGCUGAUGCACGAAAGUGUGGGUAUCGAACAGGAUUAGAUACCCCAGUAGUC
Molecule: ribosomal RNA, 459 nt
Filed under: uncultured bacterium
Lineage: Bacteria
Description: partial 16S ribosomal RNA
Rfam family: Bacterial small subunit ribosomal RNA
Source: RNAcentral